AUUUUCAUUAGAUGAUCUCUCUCCCCUUCAAUGGGGAAUAACGACCAUGACUGCAGUCCUUUCUUAUUUUCCUCUCCACCUUAUGCUCCAUUUUCUUCUUCUUCUUCGCUAUCAUCGCCUUCACCAUCAUAUCCCGUUACAAAUUCCACUUUUGAAUCUUCCCAAAGUCCUUCCCUACACUCUGUCCAAUCUUCUUCAGGUUCUUUCCAUCCUUCUGCUGCUGCUUCUGCUAAUCUUGGACCAUGCGCUGCCAGCAAAAUCCAUGGUUGGCGAUGCACUGAUGUGGCAGCUUCCCACUUACCACCCACUGAUUCGCAUAAAUUCACCGUCGCUGAUGGAAUGUUUGGAGCUACCAAUGUCGACAGCUUAUUGCAGU
Molecule: unclassified non-coding RNA, 376 nt
Filed under: Hevea brasiliensis (rubber tree)
Lineage: Eukaryota; Viridiplantae; Streptophyta; Magnoliopsida; Malpighiales; Euphorbiaceae
Source: RNAcentral